CAGUAGCCGCGGGAAUACGUAGGGUGCAAGCGUUAAUCGGAAUUACUGGGCGUAAAGCGUGCGCAGGCGGUUAUAUAAGACAGAUGUGAAAUCCCCGGGCUCAACCUGGGAACUGCAUUUGUGACUGUAUAGCUAGAGUACGGCAGAGGGGGAUGGAAUUCCGCGUGUAGCAGUGAAAUGCGUAGAUAUGCGGAGGAACACCGAUGGCGAAGGCAAUCCCCUGGGCCUGUACUGACGCUCAUGCACGAAAGCGUGGGGAGCAAACAGGAUUAGAUACCACCGUAGUCCCUGUCUCUUAUAC
RNAcentral lists this ribosomal RNA (301 nucleotides) under uncultured bacterium. Its description in RNAcentral is "partial 16S ribosomal RNA". It matches the Rfam family "Bacterial small subunit ribosomal RNA", at positions 509 to 807 of the family's 1533-position model. The record is from RNAcentral.